Molecule: long non-coding RNA, 689 nt
Organism: Nomascus leucogenys (northern white-cheeked gibbon)
Lineage: Eukaryota; Metazoa; Chordata; Mammalia; Primates; Hylobatidae
Exons: 3
Source: RefSeq, a predicted model, not a curated record
CUCCCACCUCAGCCUCCUGAGUAGCUGAGACUACAGGGAGGGCAGCUGCCCAUCAUCUGGCACCUCCAGGUCGAACCUCUGCAGCAGCCAGGCCAUGAUGAGGAAGAGCUCCUGGCGGGCCAGGAUCUCACCUAUACAGGAGCGAGGUCCUGCUCCGAACGGCAAAUAGCUUACUGACGCAAACUCACCGAUGCUGCUCCAGAGUGGAAGAGGAAAAGUGGGUCUGGGACAUCGUACUCCCUUCCUUGCUCAGCCUCAUGCCCCCUCAUUCUUCCGCCGUGAGGAAAGUGCCCUUUACUCCCUCGUUCCCACUCAGUCAUCUUUUCCUCAGCUUCUGCUAGAUCAAAUCUAAAUCCAGCCCUUCUCCAGCCCUUCCCUCCUAACAGGCGCUUAUGUCUGAACACCUGUGUCUGUGGACUUUGGUGUCUGGCAGUGGAUGUGGGUGUGCGUUUGGAGCUGCGGUGCAUGUUAUGUGCGUGCUGCAGCUGGUUGGAGCAUGGAGCUCGCAGCCUUUCAUCCCGCACCACAUGUCUCUGAGGGCAGCAGGAAGCUUCUCUGGGAAGUCAGGCAGAUCUGUGGAUGAGUCAUUGCGUGUCUGUAGGUGGUAGAGACAUGGAGCCACAGGGCUGGGGGCAGGAUGAUUUUUAUUUUAUUUAAUUAAUUAAUUAUUUAUUUAUUUUGAGACAGAG